AGCUAGUCCAAAGGCAGUGAGCUAUCUUAAUUAUUGUUCACAGUCACAGUUACAGGAGGAAUUUUUUGUUCUCUUUCUUCUUUUGUCACUAUUGCACUUGACUAGUUACAU
RNAcentral lists this Y RNA (111 nucleotides) under Carlito syrichta (Philippine tarsier). Its description in RNAcentral is "Y RNA (ENSTSYG00000022752.2)". It matches the Rfam family "Y RNA". Rfam says of the family: Y RNAs are components of the Ro ribonucleoprotein particle (Ro RNP), in association with Ro60 and La proteins. The Y RNAs and Ro60 and La proteins are well conserved, but the function of the Ro RNP is not known. Lineage: Eukaryota; Metazoa; Chordata; Mammalia; Primates; Tarsiidae. The record is from Rfam by way of RNAcentral.